This 563-nucleotide ribosomal RNA is filed under the name uncultured Sebacinales. RNAcentral describes it as "eukaryotic LSU rRNA". It matches the Rfam family "Eukaryotic large subunit ribosomal RNA", at positions 81 to 612 of the family's 3401-position model. The record is from RNAcentral. Lineage: Eukaryota; Fungi; Basidiomycota; Agaricomycetes; Sebacinales.
UAGUAACGGCGAGUGAAGAGGGAAAAGCUCAAAUUUUGAAUCUGGUGUCUUUGACUCCCGAGUUGUAAUCUAGAGAAGUGUUUUCCGCGUUGGGCCGUGUACAAGUUCCCUGGAACGGGGCGUCAUAGAGGGUGAGAAUCCCGUAUAUGCCACGGACUACCAAUGCUCUGUGAUACACUCUCAACGAGUCGAGUUGUUUGGGAAUGCAGCUCAAAAUGGGUGGUAAAUUCCAUCUAAAGCUAAAUAUUGGCGAGAGACCGAUAGCGAACAAGUACCGUGAGGGAAAGAUGAAAAGCACUUUGGAAAGAGAGUGAAACAGUACGUGAAAUUGUUGAAAGGGAAGCGUUUGAAGUCAGUCACGUCUGUCGGAAUUCAGCCUGGCUUCUGCCUGGUGUACUUUCCGUCCGACGGGUCAGCAUCAAUUUCGACCGAGGGAAAUAGGCUUGAGGAAUGUGGCUGUCUUCGGGCAGUGUUAUAGCCUCGCGUUGUAUGUCUCGGUUGGGAUUGAGGAACGCAGCGCGCCUAUUGGCCGGGGGUUCGCGCCCCUCGGUACGCGCUUAGGA